GUCAGGAUAGCUCAGCCG
This 18-nucleotide transfer RNA is filed under the name Hopea beccariana. RNAcentral describes it as "partial tRNA-Phe". RNAcentral also lists the same sequence under 1 other name. The record is from RNAcentral. Lineage: Eukaryota; Viridiplantae; Streptophyta; Magnoliopsida; Malvales; Dipterocarpaceae.